AGAGAAUAGUAUAGUGGAGGUACGCGGGGUUUUGAGCCCCUUAGUACAGGUUCGAGUCCUGUUUUUCUA
This 69-nucleotide transfer RNA is filed under the name Plestiodon brevirostris brevirostris. Its description in RNAcentral is "partial tRNA-Gln". It matches the Rfam family "tRNA". From Rfam's summary of the family: Transfer RNA (tRNA) molecules are approximately 80 nucleotides in length. Their secondary structure includes four short double-helical elements and three loops (D, anti-codon, and T loops). Lineage: Eukaryota; Metazoa; Chordata; Lepidosauria; Squamata; Scincidae. The record is from RNAcentral.